RNAcentral lists this ribosomal RNA (480 nucleotides) under uncultured bacterium. RNAcentral describes it as "bacterial SSU rRNA". It matches the Rfam family "Bacterial small subunit ribosomal RNA", at positions 28 to 521 of the family's 1533-position model. The record is from RNAcentral.
GACGAACGCUGGCGGCGCGCCUAACACAUGCAAGUCGAACGAGAGAUGAGGAGCUUGCUCUUCAGAUCGAGUGGCGAACGGGUGAGUAACGCGUGAGGAACCUGCCUCAAAGAGGGGGACAACAGUUGGAAACGACUGCUAAUACCGCAUAAGCCCACGGCUCGGCAUCGAGCAGGGGGAAAAGGAGCAAUCCGCUUUGAGAUGGCCUCGCGUCCGAUUAGCUAGUUGGUGAGGUAACGGCCCACCAAGGCGACGAUUGGUAGCCGGACUGAGAGGUUGAACGGCCACAUUGGGACUGAGACACGGCCCAGACUCCUACGGGAGGCAGCAGUGGGGGAUAUUGCACAAUGGGGGAAACCCUGAUGCAGCGACGCCGCGUGGAGGAAGAAGGUCUUCGGAUUGUAAACUCCUGUUGUUGAGGAAGAUAAUGACGGUACUCAACAAGGAAGUGACGGCUAACUACGUGCCAGCAGCCGCGGU